GCCGAGCCGCGGGGACGCCCCCCGCCCGCGCUGCGCAGAUGGCGCUGCCCACGCUGCCCUCCUGCUGGCCCAGCCGCAGCAGGGCCCUGGAGCAGCAGAUCGUGCGGCAGCGGGAGCAGGAGGCCCGCUGGCGGCAGCAGUGGGAGCGGAACAGCCGCUACUUCAGGCAGUCCGGACUCUGCAGCGCCAAGCAGAGCCAGUGGAGCUCGCGCCGGUCCUAUCAGCAGAGCAUGAGUGCAUAUCACUGUGAGAAAAUGAAAGAGGAAAAAAAAAUCAGCUUGGAGCAGAGACGAGAACAACUUAGGAAACUUUUGUAUGAGGAGCGAGAAUUGCUAACAGCAGAACUCAGGGAGCUGAGACUGAACAAGGAGUCAGAUCUGAGCAAGAUCAGAGAGAGAAGUGAAGAUUUGAAAUCUGCUAGAGAAGAGCGUCGGAAAAAGGUGGCUGAAGAGCUGCUGUAUGAACACUGGAAGAAGAACAAUACCAAACUCCGAGAGAUUGAGUCAGAGCUCCACAGGAAGCAUGUGAUAGACGUUUGGGGCGAUCAGCUAACAGAAAAGAAGCAGCAAGAAGCAACUGAAAGAGAAGAAAAAAGACGGUAUGAAAAUGAAUAUGAACUUGCCCGAAGGGAAGCACUGGAAAGAAUGAAACAAGAAGAAGAAAAGAGGCGGCUGGAAGAGAAGAAACGAGCUGAAGUGUUACUGCAACAAAUGGAAGAACUGAAGUUCCGGGAGAUGGAGGCAACAAAACUGAAGAAAGAGCAAGAUAAUUUACUAAAACAGCAAUGGGAGCUGGAGGAGCUGGAAGAAGAGAGGAAGCAAAUGGAAGCAUGCAGGAAGAAGUUGGAGCUUGGUCGCUUUUUGAGACAUCAGUAUAAUGCCCAACUAAAGAGACGUGCACAGCAGAUACAACAGGAGCUGGAGAUGGACAGGCAAAUACUAUUAGCCCUUCUAGAGAAGGAAGAUGAGGACCAACGCCUCCACUCGGCUAGACGGGAGCGGGCUGCUGCAGAUGCUGCCUGGAUGAAACAUGUAAUUGAGCAGCAGCUCCAGUUAGAAAAGGCACGAGAGGCAGAACUGGAGACCAUUUUUAGGGAAGAAGCUAAACAAAUGUGGGAAAAAAGAGAAGAGGAAUGGGAGAGAGAGAGGAAGGCCAGAGACAGACUGAUGAAAGAGGUUCUUGCAGGCAGACUGUGUCAGAUCCAAGAGAGGAUGGAGCUAAAUCGCCAUGCCCAGCAGGAAUGUGUAAAAUACCGGGAACAGCUGAUUAGAGAGCUUGAGGAGGCAAAAGAGCUAACUCGUCGAGAGAGAGAAGAAGAGGAGGAACUAAAAACAGCUCGCAAACAAGAGUUGGAGUCCCAGCUUGCAGAGCAUCACCUCCAAAAGCAGGAAGAGUUACAGCGCCAGAAAGAGGAGGAGGAGGAAGCAAGGCUGGCAGAGCAGCAGUGGGAGGAGUUAGUGCAGCAAGAGGCCAAGCGCAUGGCUGAGCGGAGCUAUCAUAGUAAGGUAGUUCAUGGUGUUUGACAAUGGAGGUCAGCAUGCCGCAGAGAGUAACCAGCAAUUGCCUCUGAGCACAGUUCCUCUACAUCAGGAAAAGUCAGAGCUGCUCCUGAGCCCCGUGGUCGUCCAAAAACAGCGUGGACCUGAGAAGGAUUGCCCUUAAGUUCUGAGGCGUGAGCAUCAUAGCAUCAGUAUGAAGGACUCAAUGUUGCAGGCUGUGUGCCUGAUAAACAAGAUCAGGAUGGUGUGGAAUAUUUCAAAACCAAGAAUCAAGGUGCUGUCACUAUGAGAUUGUCAGGAAUAGUUCAUGAAGCUGAUGGAGAUGUGCUCAGUGCAAAUGAAGGGUGAAGUUUUCAAAAGCAUCCGGUCAAAUUUCCCCUGAAUGCUGCAGCAGCAGCAGCGGUAGGCCAAUGGAGGUUUACUUGAAAAUACUAUCCUAAGUGUGGAGAGGGCCCUACAUCAUUCCAGCUGCUUCCAGUGUUUAGAAGCUGUGAAGUGACAUGAUGUUACAUGUAAGGCAAAGUCGACUGUCCACCUGCACUUAACCAGGAAAAACAGUGGUGGAAGAAUAAAUAUGCAGACAGCUUUAAAAUAGCUGCAUGUAUUCUUGACUAACGCAACCCAGUUGAAUCAAUGAUACUAAACCACUGACUGUUGCUGUUUAUAGCAGAAAGCUUUCUUUAGCAUCAUGCCUUUUCUAUUAACCCUAAGUAAUGUUUGCUCAGAAAUCCCUCCUGUGCUUCCUUAUCCCCAUGCAUUGUAAAACAGUGUUUGUGAGAAUUGCAAUGCCACAGUGUCAAUUCCUGACACAAGUUUCAUUUAGGAUCUAGGACUUUAAAGACUAAUAAAUAUUUACUUGUCUGUUUUA
This is an RNA transcript of Gopherus evgoodei (Goodes thornscrub tortoise), 2367 nucleotides long. It is a transcript of the gene named trichoplein keratin filament binding, with no coding region annotated. Lineage: Eukaryota; Metazoa; Chordata; Testudines; Testudinidae. The transcript has 13 exons. The record is from RefSeq and is a predicted model, not a curated record.